RNAcentral lists this ribosomal RNA (253 nucleotides) under uncultured bacterium. Its description in RNAcentral is "partial 16S ribosomal RNA". It matches the Rfam family "Bacterial small subunit ribosomal RNA", at positions 524 to 776 of the family's 1533-position model. The record is from RNAcentral.
UACAGAGGUCUCAAGCGUUGUUCGGAUUCAUUGGGCGUAAAGGGUGCGUAGGUGGUCGGGUAAGUUUGAUGUGAAAUCUCCGGGCUUAACCCGGAAAUGGCAUUGAAUACUAUUCGGCUGGAGGGUUGGAGGGGGGACUGGAAUUCUCGGUGUAGCAGUGAAGUGCGUAGAUAUCGAGAGGAACACCAGUGGCGAAGGCGAGUCCCUGGACAACUCCUGACACUAAGGCACGAAAGCGAGGGGAGCAAACAGG